AUUACACACACACACACACACACACACACACACACACACACACACACACACACAAAACACAACUCACGCAUGCGCAGUAGGAAGUUACCGUUCUCAAACAGGAAACUGAACAGAAACCCGCACAAGACCGUUGUGGCACCUUUCAGAAGGAAGCGCUAAGAGGACCGGGGCCGUUACACGUACGCCUUCCCAGUGACAGCACUCAUCUUGUUCCACCAAUUGGAAGGACUGCAGCCUCACCUCAGACCCACUGGUCAACAUACAUUCCACUCCUGAAAUGUUCCUCCCCUUGAGAUUCACAGGACACACCACUGUACCUGGAUGUAGUGAUGUAAUGGUGCCCCAAGUCCCUAUGGCCAGAACCUCCUCACCAGGACAGACCCACAUGCCUCUCUCCAGCUGCCUUUGUCCGGAUCCAGUGAUCCGAGUCUGCAGGUUGACUACGUUGGAAAUCAACAGGAUCCAAGAGGCACUUACCACGUCACCUCAGCUCCUGCUCAUUUCCUUCAUUGCACUCUAAAGAGUAGGAUCAGUAGGGCUGUUUGUUUGUUUGUUUGUUUGUGGUUGCCCUCUUGUUAUUAUUCCGCUAGCUGUUCUCCCUGCUCACUGUGAGCUCUGUGUAGGCAGGUGUGCUGGUUUGAAUAUACUUGGCCCAGGGAAUGGCACUAUUUGUAGGUAUGGCCUUGUUGGAAUGGGUGUGGCCUUGUUGAAGGAAGUGUGUCAUUGUGGGCAUGGGCUUUAAGAUCCUUAUCCUGGGGGCCCUCAGGUGUAGACUCUUGGCUCCUGCUGCACCACACCUGCCUGGAUGCUGCCAUGUUCCCACCUUGAUGAUAAUGGACUGAACCUCUGAACCUGUAAGCCAGCCCCAAUUAAAUGUUGUCAUUUAUAAGGCUUGCCUUGGCCAUGGAAUCUGUUCA
Molecule: long non-coding RNA, 917 nt
Filed under: Mus spicilegus (steppe mouse)
Lineage: Eukaryota; Metazoa; Chordata; Mammalia; Rodentia; Muridae
Description: lncRNA (ENSMSIG00000009175.1)
Source: RNAcentral